GUUUGUUCUCAGGGCGGGGUGAAAAUCCCCACCGGCGGUAUCCGGAGCGAUCCGGGAGCCCGCGAGCGCUUCCACCGAUGUGGAAGGUCAGCAGACCCGGUGAGAGGCCGGGGCCGACGGUUAUAGUCCGGAUGGAAGAGGACAAUG
Molecule: non-coding RNA, 147 nt
Filed under: Sinorhizobium saheli
Lineage: Bacteria; Pseudomonadati; Pseudomonadota; Alphaproteobacteria; Hyphomicrobiales; Rhizobiaceae
Description: FMN sequence
Rfam family: FMN riboswitch aptamer (RFN element)
About the family: The RFN element is a highly conserved domain that is found frequently in the 5'-untranslated regions of prokaryotic mRNAs that encode for flavin mononucleotide (FMN) biosynthesis and transport proteins.
Source: Rfam by way of RNAcentral